AUGAUCAUUGGCAGCCUCGACAGAUUUAUUACGACCUGGGAGGAGUGGAAAGAACCUUUGAUUGUAGAAGGGGUUCAUUUAAGCCUGAAUUUUGUGAUGGGGCUGACGAAGAAACAUCCCUCAGUGAUACCACUUAUGGUAUACAUCAUGAACAAGGAGAAGCACAUGGAACGGUUUGCGGUCCGCGCAAAGUACAUGACGCUUGACCUGGCGAAGAACAGAUACGUUAAAUACAUCCAGAACAUCAGAGCGAUCCAGGAGUACCUCUGCAACCGGGCCGACAAGCAUCAAGUGCCAAAAAUCAACAACACCAAUGUAGACUGGAAAAUGGCGGCCAUACACGCCACGGUUUUCAUCUGCCUUCGCCGGCGUGAGGCCAGGGAGCAGUUUUAUGACUCGCAUACAAACACUGCAGUUAUGGUGGAUGAGGAGUAUAGGAGCCAGUGCGCCGCAAACUCGUUGAGUUCCAAGGGCAUGUUUCAGUUGAUUCAGAGGCAAGGGUCCUCUAGAAAUCUGAUGGCUCUGCUUAACACUGAUGGUUCAGUUGCUAAGGCAUGGCCCAUGAAUGCCGGCGACAGCAGUGGAAACAUGAAUGAUGGCAGCAGUGAGAAAUCCGUUGGAAAUCCUAUGUAUGGCCCUUAG
Molecule: ribosomal RNA, 642 nt
Filed under: Triticum aestivum (bread wheat)
Lineage: Eukaryota; Viridiplantae; Streptophyta; Magnoliopsida; Poales; Poaceae
Description: partial small subunit ribosomal RNA
Source: RNAcentral